CCUACGGGUGGCAGCAGUGAGGAAUAUUGGUCAAUGGACGAGAGUCUGAACCAGCCAAGUCGCGUGAAGGAUGACUGCUCUAUGGGUUUUAAACUUCUUUUAUAUGGGAAUAAAGUGUGCCGCGCGUGUCUUUUUGUAUGUAGCUUAUGAAUAAGGAUCGGCUAACUCCGUGCCAGCAGCCGCGGUAAUACGGAGGAUCCGAGCGUUAUCCGGAUUUAUUGGGGUUAAAGGGAGCGUAGGUGGACUGUUAAGUCAGUUGUGAAAGUUUGAGGCUCAACCGUGAAAUUGCAGUUGAAACUGGUAGUCUUGAGGAUAGUAGAGGUAGGCGGAAUUCGUGGUGUAGCGGUGAAAUGCGUAGAUAUUACGAAGAACACCGAUUGCGAAGGCAGCUUACUGAACUGCAACUGACAUUGAGGCUCGAAAGCGUGGGUAUCAAACAGGAUUAGAUACCCGAGUAGUC
Molecule: ribosomal RNA, 460 nt
Filed under: uncultured bacterium
Lineage: Bacteria
Description: partial 16S ribosomal RNA
Rfam family: Bacterial small subunit ribosomal RNA
Source: RNAcentral